This 549-nucleotide long non-coding RNA is filed under the name Vulpes vulpes (red fox). Its description in RNAcentral is "lncRNA (ENSVVUG00000003363.1)". The record is from RNAcentral. Lineage: Eukaryota; Metazoa; Chordata; Mammalia; Carnivora; Canidae.
CUCAUCUAUACUAAUAUCAAUAUUAGCAGUUGGAGAGAGGGCAAGAUUUUUACUUUAUAAUACAGCAUAUAUUUCUAUAAACAAGUAAAAGUUCUUAAUAUCUAAUAAUAGCCAUGGCCUAAUGUCUACCGUGGUCAGGCAGGCGGGUUAUAUUUGUAGAGGUACAGAAACGAGUGGAUCCAAGAAGCAAAGAGCUAGCUGAGUCCUGGUUCCUCUACUUGCCAUCAGGGUGAUCUUGAAACCCAUUACCCUGCUAAGAUUCACUCCUCUCCUAGAAGAUGGAUGCUAUUGUUUUUUUCAAUCCAAGAUGCUACCACUGAGCUGUUAAUAUACUUUAAAGAAGAGAAUCAGAAGAAACAGGAGGAAGAUUAGAGGAAGUAGAUUUACCUUGCCAUCCAGUGUACUUUCUUCCACCACAUGAAAACGUCGUUUGUGGGCACCUGGCUGGCUCAGUCAGUAGAACGUGCGACCCUUGAUCUCAGGGUGGAAAUUCAAAGGAGCAGCCUGAACCAAGGAACAGACUUUUCCAUCCUCACUUCAAAAGGCUGA